RNAcentral lists this non-coding RNA (23 nucleotides) under Cricetulus griseus (Chinese hamster). The record is from RNAcentral. Lineage: Eukaryota; Metazoa; Chordata; Mammalia; Rodentia; Cricetidae.
AAUGGGGACGGGGAUAGACAUAU